This 496-nucleotide ribosomal RNA is filed under the name uncultured bacterium. Its description in RNAcentral is "partial 16S ribosomal RNA". It matches the Rfam family "Bacterial small subunit ribosomal RNA", at positions 30 to 523 of the family's 1533-position model. The record is from RNAcentral.
AUUGAACGCUGGCGGAAUGCUUUACACAUGCAAGUCGAACGGUAGGGGGGGCAACCCCACGAGAGUGGCUAACGGGAGAGUAAUAUAUCGGAACGUGCCCAGUCGUCGGGGAUAACGUAGCGAAAGUUACGCUACUACCCCAUACGAUCUAAGGAUGCAAGCGGGGGAUCGCAGGACUUCGCUCGAUUGGAGCGGCCGAUAUCAGAUUAGGUAGUAGGUUGGGUAAAGGCUCACCAAGCCAACGAUCUGUAGCUGGUCUGAGAGGACGACCAGCCCCACUGGAACUGAGACACGGUCCAGACUCCUACGGGAGGCAGCAGUGGGGAAUUUUGGACAAUGGACGCAAGUCUGAUCCAGCCAUUCCGCGUGCAGGAUGAAGGCCCUCGGGUUGUAAACUGCUUUUGUACGGAACGAAAAGGUCUCUCUUAAUACGGGGGACUCAUGACGGUACCGUAAGAAUAAGCACCGGCUAACUACGUGCCAGCCGCCGCGGUAA